CAGUAGCCGCGGUAAUACGUAGGUGGCAAGCGUUGUCCGGAAUUAUUGGGCGUAAAUGGCUCGCAGGCGGUUUCUUAAGUCUGAUGUGAAAGCCCCCGGCUCAACCGGGGAGGGUCAUUGGAAACUGGGAAACUUGAGUGCAGAAGAGGAGAGCGGAAUUCCACGUGUAGCGGUGAAAUGCGUAGAGAUGUGGAGGAACACCAGUGGCGAAGGCGACUCUCUGGUCUGUAACUGACGCUGAGGAGCGAAAGCGUGGGGAGCGAACAGGAUUAGAUACCCCGGUAGUCCCUGUCUCUUAUAC
This 301-nucleotide ribosomal RNA is filed under the name uncultured bacterium. Its description in RNAcentral is "partial 16S ribosomal RNA". It matches the Rfam family "Bacterial small subunit ribosomal RNA", at positions 509 to 807 of the family's 1533-position model. The record is from RNAcentral.